CACCUCCUGAAAAACUCAGGGGCCCAGAGUCUGAGGAGUAUGAAGAAACAGGGCAGCCCCAGGGAAGACGAGGGGGGCCCAUGAAACAAAGCAAGUCGGCAUGACCAAGUUGAAACGUCGCUUCAUUUUCCAAGCUUGCAGCAAAUAUCCGUUACUAUCGCCAAAGGAGGAGAAGCUAAAUGCAAGUUUGGGAGGUUAUAAGGAAGGUAAUUUUCUUAUCUGAUUCUUCUCUCAAGAAGAUAAUUCUGGUAAUAUGGAGCUUGAAUGCAAAGCAAUAGACAAGAAACUCCCUUCCAAGGAUGAGGCCUCUUCCACAUUCGGCUUUCGUCUGAUUUAACAGCUCAAUUUCUUCAUCCUGCCACCUCCCUCAUGGUUUUUAUGAGACCUGGGAACUAUUAAAGAAUGCCAAAU
Molecule: long non-coding RNA, 411 nt
Filed under: Homo sapiens (human)
Lineage: Eukaryota; Metazoa; Chordata; Mammalia; Primates; Hominidae
Description: HSALNT0388630
Source: RNAcentral